RNAcentral lists this ribosomal RNA (497 nucleotides) under uncultured bacterium. RNAcentral's name for it is "partial 16S ribosomal RNA". It matches the Rfam family "Bacterial small subunit ribosomal RNA", at positions 28 to 507 of the family's 1533-position model. The record is from RNAcentral.
GAUGAACGCUGGCGGCGUGCCUAAUACAUGCAAGUCGAGCGAACGGACGAGAAGCUUGCUUCUCUGAUGUUAGCGGCGGACGGGUGAGUAACACGUGGAUAACUUACCUAUAAGACUGGGAUAACUUCGGGAAACCGGAGCUAAUACCGGAUAAUAUUUUGAACCGCAUGGUUCAAAAGUGAAAGACGGUCUUGCUGUCACUUAUAGAUGGAUCCGCGCUGCAUUAGCUAGUUGGUAAGGUAACGGCUUACCAAGGCAACGAUGCAUAGCCGACCUGAGAGGGUGAUCGGCCACACUGGAACUGAGACACGGUCCAGACUCCUACGGGAGGCAGCAGUAGGGAAUCUUCCGCAAUGGGCGAAAGCCUGACGGAGCAACGCCGCGUGAGUGAUGAAGGUCUUCGGAUCGUAAAACUCUGUUAUUAGGGAAGAACAUAUGUGUAAGUAACUGUGCACAUCUUGACGGUACCUAAUCAGAAAGCCACGGCUAACUACGUG